UAACCAUGGUGGGGACAUUCAAUUUGGUAACUCUUGAAUCUCUCCCAUGCUUUUCUGAAUGACUCCCGUGGACCUUGACAAAAUGUGGAAAUUUUCUUCCUUACAUC
Brassica rapa (field mustard) is the source of this 107-nucleotide non-coding RNA. Lineage: Eukaryota; Viridiplantae; Streptophyta; Magnoliopsida; Brassicales; Brassicaceae. The record is from Rfam.